AAGGCUAUGUGUAACUGGCGAAACGCGGAUCACCGCGAGGGAGCACGUAGUGUCGUAGCCGUUCGCCUGGGCAGAGGUA
This 79-nucleotide non-coding RNA is filed under the name Halalkalibacter akibai. RNAcentral's name for it is "Bacillus akibai ZTP sequence". It matches the Rfam family "ZMP/ZTP riboswitch aptamer (pfl RNA motif)". Rfam says of the family: Previously known as pfl RNA. ZMP is also known as AICAR. The record is from RNAcentral. RNAcentral also lists the same sequence under 1 other name. Lineage: Bacteria; Bacillati; Bacillota; Bacilli; Caryophanales; Bacillaceae.